Molecule: ribosomal RNA, 253 nt
Filed under: uncultured bacterium
Lineage: Bacteria
Description: partial 16S ribosomal RNA
Rfam family: Bacterial small subunit ribosomal RNA
Source: RNAcentral
UACAGAGGUUUCAAGCGUUGUUCGGAUUCAUUGGGCGUAAAGGGUGUGUAGGCGGUGCGGUAAGUCGGGUGUGAAAUCUCGGAGCUUAACUCCGAAACUGCAUUCGAUACUGCCGUGCUUGAGGACUGGAGAGGAGACUGGAAUUUACGGUGUAGCGGUGAAAUGCGUAGAUAUCGUAAGGAAGACCAGUGGCGAAGGCGGGUCUCUGGACAGUUCCUGACGCUGAGGCACGAAGGUCAGGGGAGCAAACGGG